GCGCGACCUUGGGGCCGUCCCGGGCCGUGAUUUGGGGGGUGCGGCGUGGCCGGCUGUGCGGCGGCGGAAGAGCCGAGGACACAAACAUACUCCUGUGUGGCUGUCAGCCACCACUGGCUGAAAUAGAUGGGAGUCCUCCAUGCGGCAGGAAUUAAUUUGAUUUGUUAUGAAGAAAUGGCAGAAUGGUGUCUGAAGUUGCAUCCAUUAAACAGAAUAUAGACU
Numida meleagris (helmeted guineafowl) is the source of this 222-nucleotide long non-coding RNA. RefSeq lists it as uncharacterized. NCBI's taxonomy places the organism in Eukaryota, Metazoa, Chordata, Aves, Galliformes, Numididae. The record is from RefSeq and is a predicted model, not a curated record. The transcript has 3 exons.